UACGGAGGGUGCAAGCGUUAUCCGGAUUUACUGGGCGUAAAGGGCGCGUAGGCGGUCAGCACAAGUCAGUUGUGAAAUCCCCGGGCUUAACCUGGGAAUGGCAUUUGGGACUGCAAGGCUCGAGUGCGGCAGAGGAGACUGGAAUUCCUGGUGUAGCAGUGAAAUGCGUAGAUAUCAGGAGGAACACCGAUGGCGAAGGCAGGUCUCUGGGCUGACACUGACGCUCAUGCACGAAAGCGUGGGGAGCAAACAGG
This 254-nucleotide ribosomal RNA is filed under the name uncultured bacterium. RNAcentral's name for it is "partial 16S ribosomal RNA". It matches the Rfam family "Bacterial small subunit ribosomal RNA", at positions 524 to 776 of the family's 1533-position model. The record is from RNAcentral.